CCCAUUUUUCUUUCCCUAAUUUUGAUCUUUCAUUCGCUAGAUAGCCCUUCCCAAAUCUUUAGAAACCCUACAUUCAUCGUGGGUUCCAAAUACAAGAUUUAUUUGGUGUGUUUCUUCAACACCAAAUCAGAUUUUCUUCUCCAUCUCACUUUCUCUGCCGAUCAUUCUUUGUCACAAACCCUAAAUCUUCAUCAAAUUGGCGCAACCCUAAUCAUCUUCAUCUCCUCCACUGUCCUUGUGUGUUUCACUCAGAUUUCUUCAUCACCAACACGAUUCCGUCUCCAGUGAUGGACUUUUACUCAGAGUUUAUUUACUAUGGCUCGAUCGCUAUGGUUUCCUCCUCGUCAAAUCCUUAAUCAGGUAUGAUUUAUUUCUUCGUACGAUUCUUAUUGUUUAUAAUUUGCUUAAUUCAUUUAUUAUGUUCAUUAUAUAGAUAUCUUGAUAAUUGAUGAGGUUUUGGGGUAUCUUGAUAUGCAUAUAUAUGUAUCUGUAUUAUUUCUUUCAUUCAAGAUAUUUGAUGAAAAAUGCAAUUUUUAUUUGUUUAUUCUGAUGAUAUGAUAAAAAAUUAUAGUGUUUUGAGUAUUAUGACUUUUAGAAUGAGUAAUGACUAUUUUCGUGUGCUUCCAACUUUUUUAUAGCUUUUGUUAAUUUAUGCAUUGAAGUCUUUUCUUUAUCGAAGGUUUGUUUUUUUGGGUAAAGUAUCGAAGGUUUGUUCAUUUCAGCUCCUUUUGACUUCUGUUUCUAUUUGAUCAGAAGUUUGAUAAAUCUAAGAAUCUUUUAUGGGUUAGUUGUAAAGAAGGCUACCCAAACGGCAAACAUGAUGUGAGGUAAUUUCUACAUAUAAAGGUUUGUGAUAUUCUUCAUCAUCCACUUUCAUUUUUACCAAUCCAUUCAAAUAAGUUCAUCUUUCUACAAGAUACUACUAAAACCAGAGUCCUGCUACUAAAGGCUAAGGAGGAGGAAGGGCAGUUUUGGGAACAUGUAUGUUGACAUCGUUAUUUCCGAUGACCAUAGAAUGCGUCUUUUAGGAUUUUUUUUUCUGGUCACUUUCUUGAAUUUGCUGGUCCAUAUCCAACGACCCCUAAACUUAUUCAUUAAUGUCUUGACCGUUUUAGAUCUAUCUCUGAUGGUUAAUAAUUUGAUAUUUCCCGAAUAAAAAGCAUCAACCCUUUUAGUCAUGAACCUUUUAUAAUAUGACAAUGAAUGCAUGACAUUAUAGUCUUUAAGACAAGAGGUGCUUAAUGGUAAAUUAUAUUAUAGUUGAAAAAAGAGGUUUUUUUUAGCCUGUGUUUUUUAUAUAAUAGUGUUUUUACACUUUUAUUAAGUAUAAAUAAUUCAUUUCUUGGCAGGCCGUUCAGCCGGGCAAGUUUGAUUACAGACUUUCAAACAAAUUGGAUACUGAUUUGCAAAAGCUUAGAUGUAGGGUAAACUACCAUGCGUUAAAAUUCACAUACCCUAUAAUUAAAAUGGGUCAAAAGUUGGUCAACUGAAUGAGGAGGAUGGGUAAGCAGCCAAGCACUAUGUUGCUCUACACAUGAGUGUUUAGGCCAAUCCAAUUUGACUUGCUUUGACCUAUGCUAAAAGUUGCAUGCUUUGAUCCAUUAUCCGACCUGACCCAUCCAUUUGCUACACUAUGUGUAAGACCUCGUGAAGAUCAUGGUAAGAGUGAACAACUUUUUAAUUGUUUAUAUCAUUUCACCUGCUUUUAACUGUUUUAAGUUUGAAAAUUAUGGUUAUAAGAUUUUUGUUAACACAUACUUGACUUAUCUUGAGCAGUUGUGACAAAUGUCAUUGACCGGUAACCAGUGAUGAAGCUUGAGAUUUCCGACCGGAGGGGUUGAAAACCUAUAUACCUAAAAAAAGUAUAAACCGGGGGUCGAAAACGUAUAUACCUAAAAACUUCUAUACGAAAACUACAUACCAGACACUCUGAGCGAAAAGUUCGGGGGGUCGGGCGCCCCCCCACCCCCGGCCCCUUCUAUCCUGAGCCCCUGCCGGCAACGGGAAGUCUAUUAGCCUAAGUUCUACCAACUUACCUUGGUUUGAGUGGUCUAUAAAAAUUAGCAAUGUAAAUAUUGGGUGGGAUCUGAUACACUAGAGUAUAGAUACACAUAAUUUUUUUAUUACAUUUAUGCACAGACAUUAUUUAUUUUAGAUUUAUUAUCAUAUUUCAGGUUAUAUGCCAACUCGACUUUGAAUCGGUUCUUAGAAGAUGUAAUAGUGUUGGAAAUGUAGUUUCACCAACA
Molecule: long non-coding RNA, 2246 nt
Organism: Helianthus annuus (common sunflower)
Lineage: Eukaryota; Viridiplantae; Streptophyta; Magnoliopsida; Asterales; Asteraceae
Exons: 3
Source: RefSeq, a predicted model, not a curated record